AAGUAGAUGGUAUGACUUUCCUUAUCGUGGAGCCAAGGGAAUAGUUGCAGGAGUGAUUGUCGGUGAGCAUGAGCUAAACCGACGCGUGUUUAUGAUUCUUUACCGCAUGUCUUCGAAUCGGGAUCCUGGUGCUAAGGCAUCCGAUAGUCUAAGUGCAAGAGAUCAUGCAGUCAUUUUGCAGGAAAAGAAGUUGCUCGACUUGCCUAAGUUGCUAGAUAUAUGUGCCAUAUAUGGUCAUGAGAAUGAAGAGCUGACUCGAUUAA
Molecule: long non-coding RNA, 263 nt
Organism: Helianthus annuus (common sunflower)
Lineage: Eukaryota; Viridiplantae; Streptophyta; Magnoliopsida; Asterales; Asteraceae
Exons: 3
Source: RefSeq, a predicted model, not a curated record